This 867-nucleotide long non-coding RNA is filed under the name Helianthus annuus (common sunflower). Lineage: Eukaryota; Viridiplantae; Streptophyta; Magnoliopsida; Asterales; Asteraceae. The record is from RNAcentral.
UGUAACGCCCCAAAAAUGAAAACUCAAUAAAACAAGUGAGGAUAAAUAACAAACUUAACAUAAUUAAGGAUUUAUGGCAAGAUGGUAGUGAAAUGUAGUUUAAAGAUUAGAUUUGUAAUUAGCAACUAAGUGAAGGGGGUAAAGUGCAAAGUGGUUAAACUUAAAUUAGUUAAAAAAAAAAAAACAAACUAAACCCCAAACACAGUGAGUGUGUCUGGGGGAACGAUCGAACAAGGAAGGAGGAGGGGGAAACCCUAAACUCAAGAAAUCAGGCAAUUGAAGCCUAAAAUCAUAAGAAAAUCCAGUGCAUGAGCCAUCUUAUCGAUCAUCUAAGCAUACCUAGUGAAGUGCUUGAAAGAAUAAGAACCAUGUCAAGAUGGACCAACUCAUGGGAAGCAAACGGGUCAAAGAGGAGGCAAAGAAACUAGCAUAAACAUGACGAGCACAAGGUUAUGAAUGUCGGACUUUCAAAGUGUUGAUAUAAUAAUGAAACGGUUGAAUCUUGAAAGGAUAAUCGGAUUGAAGUAACUUAUGCGGUUAGAAUAUGCUGUGGACGUUUUAGUUUAUACAACAUUUUAUGUUUGGUCGUCAUCAUCUACCAACGGGUAAAUCCUCAAUUCAGGCGACUUGGAGAAUCGGAGCGAGCGCGUGUUCAUGUUAUGUCAUACCAAACGCUUCCGCUAGCUUGUUCAAAUGUUUUUAGUCCAAAAUUUGUUGUAUUGGUUCUUAGUAGUAUUUUGUCGAAUGAAUCGUAGAAUUGUAUCUAGUUUGAUUAUGUUUAAAACAGGGGAAUGCUCGUUUUAUGGACGGGUCAUGCCCAAUUUUUGUUAAAUUAAUGCACCUGCGUUAUUGAUAUUAUCAUUUAAA